This 713-nucleotide long non-coding RNA is filed under the name Rattus norvegicus (Norway rat). RNAcentral's name for it is "long non-coding RNA NONRATT022123". Lineage: Eukaryota; Metazoa; Chordata; Mammalia; Rodentia; Muridae. The record is from RNAcentral.
CCGCUUCAACCAGCAAGACCUGUUCGUCAUCUCUCUUCUCCUCCAGGACCAGUGUUCCCUUUCAACUUUCAGAAUGAAUAUCCAUGCAACACUCAGUGCUUACAAAGUGGAGUUGGCAGAUGUAAGACGAAUGGAAUGCAAGCCUUUUCUCAAGGUCUCAAUGAGCAGCAGCAACACCAGUCUCCAGUUAAAAAAGAGAGAAUUAAAUACAGCAGAGAUUUCUUGUUGAAGCUUUCAAGUGUUUCCAUCUGCAGAAAAAAACCAGACUUUCUGCCUGAUCAUCCCAUUGUACUUCAGAAACCAGAAAACAACCAAAGUUUUAAGUAGCAUUUUAAGAACAGAUGAAUUUGAAGAUAAAGAAUUAUUCAUUUUAUAUUUUGGACACCUGCCAAUGAAGUGGACCUAGUAACAAUAACUAAUGGACUGUGACGAUUCAAUUUAUUUUUACUUUUGAUGGUUGGCUAUUUGGCUUCUCAUAAAAGGAGAAAGAGAUAUUUUAAAGUAUAAAGAAUUUUUCUAAUCAGUUUCAGCUUUGCAGGCAGCUCCUGCAAAAAUUGGGAAGGAACACUCGAAAGUAGGGAUGUUGUUGGCGAAGUGGGAAGACUGUAUUAUAAUUUGCAUGCUACUUGCAAUUCUUGUUUUUCACCACUUGUAAUAAUGGAAUGGAAAUGUAAGCUGUAAAGAUUCUCAAAUAUAAAAUAUUUGCUACGAUG